This 439-nucleotide ribosomal RNA is filed under the name uncultured bacterium. RNAcentral's name for it is "partial 16S ribosomal RNA". It matches the Rfam family "Bacterial small subunit ribosomal RNA", at positions 338 to 795 of the family's 1533-position model. The record is from RNAcentral.
CCUACGGGAGGCAGCAGUGGGGGAUAUUGCACAAUGGAGGAAACUCUGAUGCAGCGACGCCGCGUGAGGGAAGACGGUCUUCGGAUUGUAAACCUCUGUCUUUGGGGAAGAAAAUGACGGUACCCGAAGAGGAAGCUCCGGCUAACUACGUGCCAGCGGCCGCGGUAAUACGUAGGGGGCGAGCGUUAUCCGGAAUUACUGGGUGUAAAGGGGGCGUAGGCGGGAGUGAAAGUUGAAGGGUAAAUCUACCGGCUGAACUCGUAGCUGCGUUUAAGACUUCUUGUCUUGAGUGCAUGAGAGGCAGGCGGAAUUCUUAGUGUAGCGGUGAAAUGCGUAGAGAUUAGGAGGAACACCAGUGGCGAAGGCGGCCUGCUGGGCUGUAACUGACGCUGAGGCUCGAAAGCGUGGGGAGCAAACAGGAUUAGAUACCCGGGUAGUC